CCGAGUUGGUGGAUGACGUAGCUCUCACGUGACCAAGAGCUGACGUGUGCAGAAGUCCUUCUUGUCCUGGUCGUUGUUCCCGUCUGAGUACCAGCUCCCCAUUGCCCUGAGGGCGGGCGGGCCUGCGGCGGAGGGAAAAAGGAAGAGGAGAAGAAAAUUGUCCCGGAUCCCUGCAGUCUUUCUGUAGGUUGCGGCACAACGCCAGGCAAAAGAAGAGGAAGGAAAUUAAUCCUAAUCGGUGAAGGUCGAUUUGAGGGUCUGCUGUAGCAGGUGGCUCCGCUUGAAGCGAGGGAGGAAGUUUCCUCCGAUCAGUAGAGAUUGGAAAGGUUGUUGGGCGUGGCACACCACCAGGAAACAGAAGAAGGGGCGAACUGCUUGUCUUGAGGAGGUCAACCUCCAGAAUCAGCUAUUGUGGCCUUGAAGUGGCUGAAGACGAUCACCCUCCACAGGCUUGAGCCCAGUCCCACAGCCUUCCUCCCCCAGCCUGAGUGACUACUCUAUUCCUUGGUCCCUG
Molecule: long non-coding RNA, 514 nt
Filed under: Theropithecus gelada (gelada)
Lineage: Eukaryota; Metazoa; Chordata; Mammalia; Primates; Cercopithecidae
Description: lncRNA (ENSTGEG00000012160.1)
Source: RNAcentral